CUAGCUGAGUCAAGGAGAAGUGUCAAUGGUAGCAAAACUCUCCAUCCAGGGAGGGAAUACGUCACUCUUUGCUACAUGGCUACAGAGCAAGGCCACUGGUUAAACAGUAAUCUCUGGGAUCCUAGGACUUGGAUCUUGUGCCCCUCUGGCUGGAGCCCCAGGCACUUUGGGAGGAAUAACAGGAUGCAGCAGGGCUUUCCUGAAGUCUUUAAUAUGAUGUUCCAAGAGAAAGAGACACAUUGUCUGGACGCCAGUGGCCUCAGCCCACCAAGACUAGGUUAAUGAAUCACAAAAGGGCUGAUCCUGACGAAUGGACAUGACCCAGAUAUCCGGGACCCCAUGCUGUCUGCAGGAGGUGGAUAAGACCUCCGGGAAAGGAUCUCUGCUGCUCUUGACAAGACAACCUUCUUUAGGGGAAAUGCUCCUCCCUCAAUUCUCCUGAUACAGGUCUGAGAGUUUGGCUUAUCUCACACACAUACACACACACACACACACACACACACACAAGGAUAGGCGGUAAUGCCAUCCAGGACAACAAGAAUCCUCUCCUGGAGUCUUCUAAUCUGAGAGAGGAAAGGCACAACCUCUCGAGUGACAAGGCUGAGGAUGUGAGUUGGCAGCCACUGGCACCUUGAGCAGUGGCUAUUCUAUAGGAGGAGGGAAUGAAGACCACACUCUGAGAGGAGCCAGGAGAUGGAGAAGCCAAGGGUGGACGUCUCGGUGGCAGUUCAGCUUCUGCUCUCCCCUUUCUUCUUUUUGCUGGGCUGUGCUGGUCUUUGUUGCAGCACAUUCCAGGGGCUUCUCCAGCUGCAGUGUGAGGGCUACUCUAUUUGCUGCGUGCAGGCUUAGAUGCCCCAUGGCAUGUGGGGUCUUAGUUCCCCAAUCAGAGGUCAAAUCUGCAUCCCCUGCAUUGGAAGAUGGACUCUCAAUCC
Molecule: long non-coding RNA, 932 nt
Organism: Capra hircus (goat)
Lineage: Eukaryota; Metazoa; Chordata; Mammalia; Artiodactyla; Bovidae
Exons: 3
Source: RefSeq, a predicted model, not a curated record